CAACAACGGAUCUCUUGGUUCUGGCAUCGAUGAAGAACGCAGCGAAAUGCGAUAAGUAAUGUGAAUUGCAGAAUUCAGUGAAUCAUCGAAUCUUUGAACGCACAUUGCGCCCUCUGGUAUUCCAGAGGGCAUGCCUGUUCGAGCGUCAUU
RNAcentral lists this ribosomal RNA (150 nucleotides) under Cytospora chrysosperma. RNAcentral's name for it is "Valsa sordida 5.8S ribosomal RNA". It matches the Rfam family "5.8S ribosomal RNA". From Rfam's summary of the family: 5.8S ribosomal RNA (5.8S rRNA) is a component of the large subunit of the eukaryotic ribosome. It is transcribed by RNA polymerase I as part of the 45S precursor that also contains 18S and 28S rRNA. Functionally, it is thought that 5.8S rRNA may be involved in ribosome translocation. Lineage: Eukaryota; Fungi; Ascomycota; Sordariomycetes; Diaporthales; Cytosporaceae. RNAcentral also lists the same sequence under 3 other names. The record is from RNAcentral.